Bombina bombina (fire-bellied toad) is the source of this 352-nucleotide long non-coding RNA. RefSeq lists it as uncharacterized. NCBI's taxonomy places the organism in Eukaryota, Metazoa, Chordata, Amphibia, Anura, Bombinatoridae. The record is from RefSeq and is a predicted model, not a curated record. The transcript has 3 exons.
GAUUGAUUGAUCGCCGUCGGAAGGACCUAUACAGUUCGAGUGACCGGACUUGUUACACACUAACGGUGUUUUAUCUGCUGGUGUCCUGGCGGAACGGCUGGAGGUUUAACAGAUUUUACAUUUUAUUUUGGGAACAUUGGAGUUACCCUGUCUUAGAGGAGCUGCAGGACUAUCAAUAUAGACCUUGUUUUAUCAUAAUACUACUCAUUUGGACGACUUAUAAAGUAACAGCUUGUACUAUAAAAAAAAGUGACCCUGAAGUGAAUAUCACAGAAACCUUGUCUAUACAUCCGAAAUGAGGAGUAAAAGAGUUCCUCAGAAUGAAUAAAUGAAGUAUUUUACACAAUCCCAG